This 558-nucleotide ribosomal RNA is filed under the name uncultured bacterium. Its description in RNAcentral is "bacterial SSU rRNA". It matches the Rfam family "Bacterial small subunit ribosomal RNA", at positions 8 to 545 of the family's 1533-position model. The record is from RNAcentral.
AGAGUUUGAUCCUGGCUCAGAACGAACGCUGGCGGCGUGCCUAACACAUGCAAGUCGAGGGAGAAAGCCCGCAAGGGUGAGUACACCGGCGAACGGGUGCGUAACACGUGGAUAAUCUACCUCGGUGACCGGGAUAACUGGCCGAAAGGCUUGCUAAUACCGGAUGAGCCCACGACGUCUUCGGACGAAGGGGGAAAAGGCGGCCUCUGCAAGCAAGCUGUCACACCGGGAUGAGUCCGCGGCCCAUCAGCUAGUUGGCGGGGUAAAAGCCCACCAAGGCGACGACGGGUAGCUGGUCUGAGAGGAUGAUCAGCCACACUGGAACUGAGACACGGUCCAGACUCCUACGGGAGGCAGCAGUGGGGAAUCUUGCGCAAUGGGCGAAAGCCUGACGCAGCAACGCCGCGUGUGUGAUGAAGGUCUUCGGAUCGUAAAGCACUGUCGCGAGGGAAGAGAUGCCCCGGAACAACAAGCCGGGGCUAGGACGGUACCUCGAGAGGAAGCACCGGCUAACUCUGUGCCAGCAGCCGCGGUAAUACAGAGGGUGCGAGCGUUGUU